UGAGUUUCCCUGCUUCCCCUUUCCUUGGGGCACUGCUUGGUCCAGGCCCUAAUGAGUUCUGAAUGUUCAACUACAGGUCCUCCCACCAACCUCUGAGAAGAGAACAGGACAACCCAAUACCCCCAGAAAACUGGAAGUGUUUCAACAAAAUUACAUUUCUGAACGUGCAAAGUUUGGAACCAAUGCCACAGGGUAACUUUGUGAAGGUGUGGACCAUUUUCUGAAACCAACUUAAGGCACCAGCUCAUAUUGGAAGGAGUUUCUGUGCACAAGCUCUCUCUUUGCCAGCUGCCAUCCACGUAAGAUGUGACUUGCUCCUCCUUGCCUUCCACCAUGAUUGUGAGGCCUUCCCAGCCAUGUGGAACUCAAGGCAAUGUACUUCUAUAGAAGGGUGCACCCUCACAGAUGGAGCAAUGGGUCUGGGCUGUGGCCCUUAAGCAGCAGCUCACCCACCAUCACCCCCAGGCUGUACCUACGUCGGAGACUUCGAUAGCGUUUAGGAAGGAAGCUCUGGCUUGCCCCCAUCGAUACUCAGGCAUCAACUCAUCCAUGGUGGCACCAUGUUUACAGGGCCACCAGUGGCCGGGGGUGUCUUGGGAAGACCAGACCAGUGGAAGCCUCAGUUAAAGUUUCCCUUCUAGGCUGUUAGUUGGCGGAGACAGGACUGUUUAGUGGCUGAAGCUGGGUGGCACAGCAUACCGAGUGUUCCUUGGCCUGCAGCCCAGAAGCCCCUGGUGCUCGAUUUUCCUGGACCACAGUGUGUCUUGCUCACUGAAACCCUUAUAGAACAAACAGCUGGAAAGUUGUUUGCUGAGCCCAACCUGGGAUUGGGACAGCAAGAGAACUUGUGUGGACAGCCCUUUCAUUCUAAAGGGUUUUUCUUCCCAUGUUGGGCACUUCCUGCAGCUCCCAAUCCAAUAACCAUGUCAACUGUCCACAGAUCCCAGGAUACCGAGUCUCUGGUCCCAUCAGUUCCAUUAAUCUAUUGUAUGAACUUGAACCAGUCACACCCUCUCUGCACUAUCAGCUCCUCUCCUGUGGAAGGAGCCUAUUGUCAGUGAUUUUUCAGCAGCAGAGCUCUUUUUAAAUAAUUCUACUGAAGUUUUCCAGCAAAACCCCAAAAUAAAAUCAAUGCAAUAAAGGCUUUCCUCAGGAAGUUUAAUUCUUCCAAGGUUGACUGGUACAUGUCAAUGUUUGCCAAACCCCACAUGCAUCUAUAAGGUCCUAGGGAACAGAGUUUGAAAAUUAUGGGGCCUGCUCAAAGUCUUUUUUUAAAAUUUGGAAAUGCCAUAUCUAAGAUGUUUUCGAGCAAUUUCCUCUAGGUCUCCCAUUAGUUCACACAUUAACUGCAACUGCAAGGAAGUCCACCUCUCUGAGGCAUUUAUUGAAGCCUCCUGCUUACACAGAACAGUACUAGAUGCUGCAAAGGGAAAUAGCCAUGGCCUCCAAUUUCCAUGGCCUCCAAUUUAGGGUUAUGGUUGACCUGGGGUGUCAAAGAGGAAAGGAACCUUGGACAUAUUCUAAUCCUGUAUUUAUAACCUAUUCUAACCCAUGGCCUCUUUCUGAUACAUAUAAAAAUCUCACAGGCUCAGAGCUUUUGAUGUAAUCCCCACCAAUGGUUUGAGAAAGCUUUUGUACAGCUUUGCCUUCUGUAAAUUAUAUUAUGAAAACAAUAGAUAUUUUUUUUUAUGUUCCAUACAAAAAUUAUGUAACAGUGUAUUAUUGACUUGGCGCGGUGGCUCAUGGCCUGUAAUCCCAGCACUUUGGGAGGCCAAGGCGGGUCGAUCAGGAGGUCAAGAGAUCAAGACCAUCCUAGCCAACAUGGUGAAACCCCAUCUCUACUAAAAAGACAAAUAAUUAGCUGGACGUGGUGGCACACACCUGUAGUCCCAGCUACUCAGCAGGCUGAGGCAGGAGGAUGGCUUGAACCUGGGAGGUGGGGCUUGCAGUGAGCCGAGAUUGCGCCAUUGCACUCCAGCCUGGGGACAGAGCGAGACUCUGUCUCAAAAAAUAUAAAUAAAUAAGUAAAAUAAAGAGUGUAUUAUUGACCUUGCAUUUUCCAAAAUAUGUACGUGCUACCCCAAAGAAUGUGAUACACUUCCUUCAUCCCCUGCUUUCCACCUUUACCCCACCGUCAUCUAUUGACAAUAACUGACUCCGUUCAUUCUUUUUCAUUUAUACUUGCACCUUGGUUUCCUCAACUAUAAAAUGUGAGGACAUACUAUGGGGAGUUGGAGCAGGGGAUUGGUGAGGAUACAGGUGAAACAAGGUUGGCCUUGAGUAGAUAACUGUUGAAACUGGGUGAUGGGCACAUAGGGAUUCAUUAACUCUUCUUUCCAUUUUUAUGUUAUGAAAUUUUCUAUAAUAAAAAGGUUAACAUGAUGGUAAUUUAUAUAAUAAAAACAUUAAAAUGGAGAUAAUGUUAUUGAU
Pongo pygmaeus (Bornean orangutan) is the source of this 2430-nucleotide long non-coding RNA. RefSeq lists it as uncharacterized. The transcript has 6 exons. The record is from RefSeq and is a predicted model, not a curated record. NCBI's taxonomy places the organism in Eukaryota, Metazoa, Chordata, Mammalia, Primates, Hominidae.